GGAUUCCCCUAGUAACUGCGAGUGAAGCGGGAAAAGCUCAAAUUUAAAAUCUGGCGGUCCCUGUGGCCGUCCGAAUUGUAAUUUAGAGAAGCGUUAUCCGCGCUGGACCGUGUACAAGUCUCCUGGAAUGGAGCGUCAUAGAGGGUGAGAAUCCCGUCUUUGACACGGACUGCCAGGGUAUUGUGAUGCGCUCUCGAAGAGUCGAGUUGUUUGGGAAUGCAGCUCAAAAUGGGUGGUAAAUUCCAUCUAAAGCUAAAUAUUGGGGAGAGACCGAUAGCGAACAAGUACCGUGAGGGAAAGAUGAAAAGAACUUUGGAAAGAGAGUUAAACAGUACGUGAAAUUGCUGAAAGGGAAACGCUUGAAGUCAGUCGCGUCGUUCAGGACUCAGCCUUGCUUUUGCUUGGUGUACUUCCUGUUCGAUGGGUCAGCAUCAAUUUUGGUCGGUGGAAAAAGGCUUAGAGAAUGUGGCAUCUUCGGGUGUGUUAUAGCUCUGGGUCGCAUACAUCGGCUGGGAUUGAGGAACUCAGCACGCCGCAAGGCCGGGUACUUGUACCACGUACGUGCUUAGGAUGCUGGCAUAAUGGCUUUAAUCGACCC
This 598-nucleotide small RNA is filed under the name Mycena sp. 8011604. Its description in RNAcentral is "eukaryotic LSU rRNA". It matches the Rfam family "Eukaryotic large subunit ribosomal RNA", at positions 72 to 650 of the family's 3401-position model. The record is from RNAcentral. Lineage: Eukaryota; Fungi; Basidiomycota; Agaricomycetes; Agaricales; Mycenaceae.